GUUUCCUUCCGGUUACCAGGAUAAGUAUUUAAAAUGCGUCUUUCUCUAUUAAUAAAUCAACAUUUAAAACUCAUGGGGAAACCCGUUGGCAACAUAACAAACAAGUAAUUCAAAUGUUUAAAAAAGCGAAUCAAAGCACGAUAACUGCUAGGUGACACAAGCAUGUGACACAAACCAACCAGCGCGACAUUCAAAAAUGCUUAGGGAUAGUUUACACUGUGAACUGGU
Molecule: long non-coding RNA, 228 nt
Filed under: Mytilus galloprovincialis (Mediterranean mussel)
Lineage: Eukaryota; Metazoa; Mollusca; Bivalvia; Mytilida; Mytilidae
Source: RNAcentral